AACGCGAAGAACCUUACCUACUCUUGACAUCCAGAGAACUUAGCAGAGAUGCUUUGGUGCCUUCGGGAACUCUGAGACAGGUGCUGCAUGGCUGUCGUCAGCUCGUGUUGUGAAAUGUUGGGUUAAGUCCCGCAACGAGCGCAACCCUUAUCCUUUGUUGCCAGCGGUCCGGCCGGGAACUCAAAGGAGACUGCCAGUGAUAAACUGGAGGAAGGUGGGGAUGACGUCAAGUCAUCAUGGCCCUUACGAGUAGGGCUACACAUGUGCUACAAUGGCGCAUACAAAGAGAAGCGACCUCGCGAGAGCAAGCGGACCUCAUAAAGUGCGUCGUAGUCCGGAUUGGAGUCUGCAACUCGACUCCAUGAAGUCGGAAUCGCUAGUAAUCGUGGAUCAGAAUGCCACGGUGAAUACGUUCCCGGGCCUUGUACACACCG
Molecule: ribosomal RNA, 434 nt
Filed under: uncultured bacterium
Lineage: Bacteria
Description: bacterial SSU rRNA
Rfam family: Bacterial small subunit ribosomal RNA
Source: RNAcentral